AUUUCAUUCCCCCCACCGAUUUCUCGUCAAUCAACCCACACAUUUUGAAUACGUCACUUCUCCGUUAGCGAUUGCAACAAUCAGCUGAGAUUAUUGACUACCGCGAACCGACAAAACCGAAUCUGCUAACAUUCACCAUGAUUUUAAAUAUUUGCAUAUUAAACAGCUGAUCAAUUCGUCACUAGUGACCCUCGCUGAUUGAUCUUUCUGAAGGAGAUUGUAUUCCAACCGGGGAACUUUGAAAAAUCAGCAGAAUGGUGGGACACAUCAACAAGGACUUGGUGCCUAUGAAGGCGCAUUAUUUUCUUUACAAUGCAGCGACGGGACCAAUAGUGCCAUUCCUUCCGACAAUAGCAAAACAACUCGGUUUCUCCGGUUUCCUCGUGGGAUCGAUAUACACUAUUCUACCAAUAUCAGGUCUCAUAGCAAAGCCCCUGUUUGGUGGCCUGGCAGAUCGAUUUCGCCUGCAGAAAGUCUUCUUUCUCCUGUUCCAAGCCAUACUAGCCAUAGCAUUUUUCUCCAUCUACUUCAUUCCCCCAAUUGAACACCAGGCACCACCAGCACAGGCUAACGUGACACUUACAUGUGAUAACGCACUUGUCUUUUUAAAUAUUUGUUCGAAAAAGGGAUUCACUAAUAAGACCAUCAACAAUGUCAUCGAUCACGGAGAUCCACGAACAAAGUGUCAAAUUUCUUGUGACUCUUCACCCAAAUUAUCGAAGACAAUUUGUAGUUGGGGAGUAUCGGAGUACUGUCUCCAGGAAAAUCCCUCGAAGGUAUCGCAAGAGCGAAUUAAUUUCUCAGCAAUGUUCAAUAUGAAUAAGAAUGUUGAUCUGCUCAAUUGCGCGGACAUGAGACUGAAGAAUGCAACAUUCUUGGAAGGUCAAUACAAUGUUAGUAAACCCGCCUGUCAGAGUCUGGUGACAGCCACUUGUGUUGCCAGUUGUCCAGGAGUGCCCGUGAUGGAGAAGUUGCUUCGAGAGGCUCAUGGAGCCACGAAAAAUCCUACGAGCGAUGAAACGGUUUAUCAGUUCCAUCUGUUCCUCUGGGCUGCUAUCAUCAGCUGGAUGGGAAUGGCUGUAGUUGUCAGCAUUGCUGAUGCCAUUUGUUUUGAUCUUCUGGGUGAUGAUGGGAGAAAAGAAUAUGGGAAGCAGAAAAUGUGGGGCAGUAUAGGCUUUGGUAUAUUCGGUAUAAGUUCUGGGUAUCUGGUGGAUGUAUUCAGCCGUGGACAGACUGUCAAAGAUUAUACUUGCAUUUUUUACAUAAUGCUGAUCGCGAUGAUAUUCGAUAUGAUUGUGUCAGCGACAUUGAAGAAGAAAUCCGCGGAAUACACAGAUCACGAUCCAUCGGUGCUCUGGGAACUGGGCUCAGUGGCAAGGGAAGGAAGAGUCUUAGUAUUUGCAUUUUGGUGCAUCGGUGCAGGGAUGUGCACGGGAGUCGUGUGGAAUUUUUUAUUUUGGUAUACUGAGGAUAUCGUAGGGGACGAUGCUGACUGGUUGAAAACUAUCCAGGGUUUGCUGACAGGGGUUCAGUGCUUUUUGGGAGAGCUACCGUUCAAUUUUCUAUCUGGUAGAGUACUCAAGAAAUUGGGACACAUAAACGUCAUGAGUUUAGUUCUUCUGUUCUACGCCGCCAGAUUCAUGGCUUAUAGUCUUGUCAGGAAUGUAUGGGUAUUCCUGAUCAUUGAAAUACUCCAUGGACCCACGUUGGGCCUUUGUUGGCCGACGAUGGUGUCCUACGGGGAAAAAAUUGCUCCGUCAGGUACACGGGCAACUAUGCAGGGUUUCGUCGGUGCUGUUUUCGAGGGUAUAGGUGUAUCAUCGGGGAGUUUAAUCUGCGGUUGGUUAAUUGGGUCGUACGGUGGAGUCGUCACGUUCCGGGUGUUCUCAGUGGGUGCCCUAGUGUGGCUCGCUAUUUACUGGAUCCUCCAGCUGUUAUUACAAAAAGCCAAAGCCUAUCCCCUUCACCAGGGCCACAGUCGUAAGUGGUGGAAUUUCUAGUUGAGAAAAUCGACUGUCUUAAGGCUCACAAACAAUAAAGUGCACUAUAAAAAAUAUAAUUAUUUACCUGGCGAGUUAUGCAACACCCAGUGAUGCCAUUCUCAUGACCAUGAGCCAGGAACUUCAAACGUAUUGAAUUUCUGAACGAACAAUUUUAACAUAUACCGUAGGGUUUUCCUUUUUCUCAAACUGGUGCUUUACCUUAAUUAAUUUCAAGUGAUGAUAAGUAAAUGUAAAUCAUUUUUAUUUUAUUGGCCGCUGGAAUAAUUGUUGUCAAGUUAAUUUUGCGCUUGACAAUGAUCUGAAAGUGAAGUGAAACUGAUGACACAGGACAAUUAACAAUAAAGUGAGAAAAUUGGUAAAA
This is an RNA transcript of Diachasmimorpha longicaudata, 2364 nucleotides long. It is a transcript of the gene named major facilitator superfamily domain-containing protein 6, with no coding region annotated. The record is from RefSeq and is a predicted model, not a curated record. The transcript is spliced from 8 exons. NCBI's taxonomy places the organism in Eukaryota, Metazoa, Arthropoda, Insecta, Hymenoptera, Braconidae.